Molecule: ribosomal RNA, 257 nt
Filed under: uncultured bacterium
Lineage: Bacteria
Description: partial 16S ribosomal RNA
Rfam family: Bacterial small subunit ribosomal RNA
Source: RNAcentral
AGAGACGAAACAAGUGAUGUGGNGUAAAACUUAUAAAAGACGACCUCAGUUCGGAUUGAAGGCUGAAAUUCGCCUUCAUGAAGUCGGAAUUGCUAGUAAUGGCAGGUCAGCAUACUGCCGUGAAUACGUUCCCGGGCCUUGUACACACCGCCCGUCACACCAUGAGAGUUGGAGAUACCCGAAGCCUAUGAGCUAACUUUUAGAGGCAGUAGUCGAAGGUAGAAUCAAUGAUUGGGGUGAAGUCGUAACAAGGUACC